CAGUAGGGAAUCUUCCACAAUGGACGCAAGUCUGAUGGAGCAACGCCGCGUGAGUGAAGAAGGGUUUCGGCUCGUAAAGCUCUGUUGUUAAAGAAGAACGUGGGUAAGAGUAACUGUUUACCCAGUGACGGUAUUUAACCAGAAAGCCACGGCUAACUACGUGCUAG
This 167-nucleotide ribosomal RNA is filed under the name uncultured bacterium. RNAcentral's name for it is "partial 16S rRNA". It matches the Rfam family "Bacterial small subunit ribosomal RNA", at positions 352 to 511 of the family's 1533-position model. The record is from RNAcentral.